GAUGAACGCUGGCGGCGUGCCUAAUACAUGCAAGUCGAGCGAACAGACGAGGAGCUUGCUCCUCUGACGUUAGCGGCGGACGGGUGAGUAACACGUGGAUAACCUACCUAUAAGACUGGGAUAACUUCGGGAAACCGGAGCUAAUACCGGAUAACAUGCUGAACCGCAUGGUUCAACAGUGAAAGACGGUGUUGCUGUCACUUAUAGAUGGAUCCGCGUCGCAUUAGCUAGUUGGUAAGGUAACGGCUUACCAAGGCAACGAUGCGUAGCCGACCUGAGAGGGUGAUCGGCCACACUGGAACUGAGACACGGUCCAGACGCCUACGGGAGGCAGCAGUAGGGAAUCUUCCGCAAUGGGCGAAAGCCUGACGGAGCAACGCCGCGUGAGUGAAGAAGGUCUUCGGAUCGUAAAACUCUGUUAUUAGGGAAGAACAAAUGUGUAAGUAACUAUGCACGUCUUGACGGUACCUAAUCAGAAAGCCACGGCUAACUACGUG
RNAcentral lists this ribosomal RNA (497 nucleotides) under uncultured bacterium. RNAcentral describes it as "partial 16S ribosomal RNA". It matches the Rfam family "Bacterial small subunit ribosomal RNA", at positions 28 to 507 of the family's 1533-position model. The record is from RNAcentral.